GGAGAGAUGGCUCAGUAGUUAAAAGCACUGGCCGCUUUUACGGAGGACCUGGGUUCAACUCCCAGCAUCUCCA
This 73-nucleotide transfer RNA is filed under the name Mesocricetus auratus (golden hamster). It matches the Rfam family "tRNA". From Rfam's summary of the family: Transfer RNA (tRNA) molecules are approximately 80 nucleotides in length. Their secondary structure includes four short double-helical elements and three loops (D, anti-codon, and T loops). Further hydrogen bonds mediate the characteristic L-shaped molecular structure. tRNAs have two regions of fundamental functional importance: the anti-codon, which is responsible for specific mRNA codon recognition, and the 3' end, to which the tRNAs corresponding amino acid is attached (by aminoacyl-tRNA synthetases). tRNAs cope with the degeneracy of the genetic code in two manners: having more than one tRNA (with a specific anti-codon) for a particular amino acid; and 'wobble' base-pairing, i.e. permitting non-standard base-pairing at the 3rd anti-codon position. The record is from Rfam by way of RNAcentral. Lineage: Eukaryota; Metazoa; Chordata; Mammalia; Rodentia; Cricetidae.